UGGGGAAUUUUGGACAAUGGGCGAAAGCCUGAUCCAGCAAUGCCGCGUGUGUGAAGAAGGCCUUCGGGUUGUAAAGCACUUUUGUCCGGAAAGAAAUGGCUCUGGUUAAUACCUGGGGUCGAUGACGGUACCGGAAGAAUAAGGACCGGCUAACUACGUGCCAGCAGCCGCGGUAAUACGUAGGGUCCAAGCGUUAAUCGGAAUUACUGGGCGUAAAGCGUGCGCAGGCGGUUGUGCAAGACCGAUGUGAAAUCCCCGAGCUUAACUUGGGAAUUGCAUUGGUGACUGCACGGCUAGAGUGUGUCAGAGGGGGGUAGAAUUCCACGUGUAGCAGUGAAAUGCGUAGAGAUGUGGAGGAAUACCGAUGGCGAAGGCAGCCCCCUGGAGUAACACUGACGCUCAUGCACGAAAGCGUGGGGAGCAAACAGGAUUAGAUACCCUGGUAGUCCACGCCCUAAAACGAUGUCAACUAGUUGUUGGGGAUUCAUUUCCUUAGUAACGUAGCUAACGCGUGAAGUUGACCGCCUGGGGAGUACGGUCGCAAGAUU
This 548-nucleotide ribosomal RNA is filed under the name uncultured bacterium. RNAcentral's name for it is "partial 16S ribosomal RNA". It matches the Rfam family "Bacterial small subunit ribosomal RNA", at positions 355 to 895 of the family's 1533-position model. The record is from RNAcentral.